Molecule: ribosomal RNA, 469 nt
Filed under: uncultured bacterium
Lineage: Bacteria
Description: bacterial SSU rRNA
Rfam family: Bacterial small subunit ribosomal RNA
Source: RNAcentral
AGAGCACUCCUACGGGAGGCAGCAGUGGGAAUCUUGGACAAUGGGGGAAACCCUGAUCCAGCCAUGCCGCGUGUGUGAAGAAGGCCUUAUGGUUGUAAAGCACUUUCAGUAGGGAGGAAGGUAGUGUAGUUAACACCUGCAUUAUUUGACGUUACCUACAGAAGAAGCACCGGCUAACUCCGUGCCAGCAGCCGCGGUAAUACGGAGGGUGCGAGCGUUAAUCGGAAUUACUGGGCGUAAAGCGCGCGUAGGCGGCUAGGUCAGUCAGAUGUGAAAGCCCGGGGCUCAACCUCGGAAUUGCAUUUGAAACUGGCAAACUAGAGUACUGUAGAGGGGGUAGAAUUUCAGGUGUAGCGGUGAAAUGCGUAGAGAUCUGAAGGAAUACCGGUGGCGAAGGCGGCCCCCUGGACAGAUACUGACACUCAGAUGCGAAAGCGUGGGGAGCAAACAGGAUUAGAUACCCUGGUAG